GCCUCGGUGGCCUAGCCGGUCAGGGCAUCUCCUUGGUAAGGAGGAGGUCGCGGGUUCAAAUCCCGCCCGGGGCUCCA
This 77-nucleotide transfer RNA is filed under the name Candidatus Bathyarchaeota archaeon ex4484_231. RNAcentral's name for it is "tRNA-Thr". It matches the Rfam family "tRNA". Rfam says of the family: Transfer RNA (tRNA) molecules are approximately 80 nucleotides in length. The record is from RNAcentral. Lineage: Archaea; Thermoproteati; Candidatus Bathyarchaeota. RNAcentral also lists the same sequence under 2 other names.